RNAcentral lists this ribosomal RNA (1019 nucleotides) under Aphanomyces stellatus. Its description in RNAcentral is "Bacterial large subunit ribosomal RNA". It matches the Rfam family "Bacterial large subunit ribosomal RNA", at positions 1581 to 2622 of the family's 2925-position model. Lineage: Eukaryota; Oomycota; Saprolegniomycetes; Saprolegniales; Verrucalvaceae. The record is from Rfam by way of RNAcentral.
UAAAAAAGUGACAAAAAUUUUAAUUUUUCAGGAAAUAACUUUUUUAAUUAAAAACCGUACCCUAAACCGACACAGGUGGAUAGGUCGAGUAGACUAAGGUGAAUGAGAGAACUAUAUUGAAGGAACUCGGCAAAAUGACUUUGUAACUUCGGGAUAAAAAGUACCUAAUUAUUUUUAAAAUAAUGAGGUGUCACAAAAUAGGGGGUUGCGACUGUUUAAUAAAAACUUAGGACUCUGCUAAAUGGUAACAUGAUGUAUAGGGUCUGACACCUGCCCGGUGCUGGAAGAUUAAAAGGAGAUGUUUGCGCAUUAAAUGGAAGUCCCAGUAAACGGCGGCCGUAACUCUGACGGUCCUAAGGUAGCGAAAUUCCUUGUCGGGUAAGUUCCGACCUGCAUGAAUGGUGUAACGACAUCCCCGCUGUCUCCAACAUAAACUCAGUGAAUUUGAAUUAUCCGUGAAGAUGCGGAUUUUCUAUAGUUAGACGGAAAGACCCCGUGAACCUUUACUACAUCUUUAUAUUGUUAUUUUAUCUAAUAUGUGUAGUAUAAGUGGUAAUCGUUUAGACCUUUACGCUAGUAAAUUGUUUAGAUAUUCUUGAAAUACCACUCUUAUUAUAAUAAAUAACUAAUAUUUUUUUUAAAUAGACAUUGUAUGGUUGGUAGUUUGACUGGGGCGGUCACCUCCUAAAGAGUAACGGAGGUGUACAAAGGUAAGCUCAAAUUGGAUAAUAGUAUCAAUUGUAGAGCAUAAUGGUAAAAGCUUGCUUGACUGUAAGAUAGACAUAUCAAACAGGGACGAAAGUCGGUCAUAGUGAUCCGAUAAUUCUUUGUGGAAAGAUUAUCGCUCAACGGAUAAAAGGUACUCCGGGGAUAACAGGCUGAUGACUCCUAAGAGCUCCUAUCGACGGAGUCGUUUGGCACCUCGAUGUCGACUCAUCACAUCCUGGAGCUGAAGAAGGUUCCAAGGGUUCGGCUGUUCGCCGAUUAAAGUGGUACGUGAGUUGGGUUUAGAACGUCGU